RNAcentral lists this transfer RNA (75 nucleotides) under Microbacterium phage PauloDiaboli. Its description in RNAcentral is "tRNA-Val". It matches the Rfam family "tRNA". Rfam says of the family: Transfer RNA (tRNA) molecules are approximately 80 nucleotides in length. Lineage: Duplodnaviria; Heunggongvirae; Uroviricota; Caudoviricetes. The record is from RNAcentral.
GUCUACAUAGCUCAGCGGUAUGAGCGCUUCCCCGACACGGAAGAGGUCCCCGGUUCGAUCCCGGGUGUAGACACC